UCCGGCUUCGAUGAAGAGCUAUUGCUGCUCCUUGGCCCCUGCAAGAAACAAACAUCUCUUGUAAAAACAGCACAUUUAUGGCUCUACUACGCAAGGAAGCGAAAAGAAUAAUACACAUCCUGUAGCCCAGAGCAAAGUGUGCAUGUUACAACUCAUGGUCAUGCUAACUUAACAAAGAAUUUCUUGCAUAGCAGCUCCUCCAUUGCAGCAGUAAGCAUAGCACUGAUAGAAAUGUUCAUUCCAGGCUUCUUUCUUUUUUUAAUUAUAAAUCCUCCACAUAAUAAAGGAUACAUGUAUGAUUUCAUGUCUCCUUUGAAUGGAAUAAGCAUUCAACCUGUCCCAGGAUUGAACACCAGACACCAUGUUGCAGAUUAUAUGGCCGAAGAUCUAUCAUUGCAGAUGUAACAGCCAAGUAACAGUACGUCUUUUAACAUGGAAGAUAUAAAAAAAAUUAAUGAAAGGAAAAAACAAAAGCAAAAAAAAAGAAAAAGAAAAAGAAGAGAAUGGACAAGAAAUCUUGGUGGCUCCUCAACAAUGAUCAGAAAACUUGACGGACAUCUCUACAAACCACUCAAGGAAUAGGCAUAUCCAACCAACACUUGCAACCUUGCCCUAAGAAACACCUUCUGGAAAACUGCUUAUUUACAAAAUGUUCUAUUGUAGUGUUCCACCCAACUGAAAGCAGCUAACACCCUUGCAAGGA
This is a long non-coding RNA of Magnolia sinica, 703 nucleotides long. RefSeq lists it as uncharacterized. The transcript has 2 exons. The record is from RefSeq and is a predicted model, not a curated record. NCBI's taxonomy places the organism in Eukaryota, Viridiplantae, Streptophyta, Magnoliopsida, Magnoliales, Magnoliaceae.